GCACAAGCGGUGGAGCAUGUGGUUCAAUUCGACGCAACGCGAAGAACCUUACCCAGGCUCGAACGGCAUCUGACAUCCGGCGAAAGCCGGCUCCCGCAAGGGCAGGUGCCGAGGUGCUGCAUGGCUGUCGUCAGCUCGUGUCGUGAGAUGUUGGGUUAAGUCCCGCAACGAGCGCAACCCUUGUCCGCUGUUGCCAUCACGUUAUGGUGGGCACUCUGCGGAGACUGCCGGUGAUAAACCGGAGGAAGGUGGGGAUGACGUCAAGUCAGCAUGGCCUUUAUGUCUGGGGCUACACACGUGCUACAAUGGCCGAUACAAACCGUCGCGAUACCGCAAGGUGGAGCUAAUCGGAGAAAGUCGGUCUCAGUUCGGAUUGCAGGCUGCAACUCGCCUGCAUGAAGUUGGAAUCGCUAGUAAUCGCGGAUCAGCACGCCGCGGUGAAUACGUUCCCGGGC
RNAcentral lists this ribosomal RNA (455 nucleotides) under uncultured bacterium. RNAcentral's name for it is "bacterial SSU rRNA". It matches the Rfam family "Bacterial small subunit ribosomal RNA", at positions 923 to 1379 of the family's 1533-position model. The record is from RNAcentral.